RNAcentral lists this ribosomal RNA (484 nucleotides) under uncultured bacterium. RNAcentral's name for it is "partial 16S ribosomal RNA". It matches the Rfam family "Bacterial small subunit ribosomal RNA", at positions 30 to 507 of the family's 1533-position model. The record is from RNAcentral.
AUUGAACGCUGGCGGCAGGCCUAACACAUGCAAGUCGAGCGGAUGAAGGGAGCUUGCUCCUGGAUUCAGCGGCGGACGGGUGAGUAAUGCCUAGGAAUCUGCCUGGUAGUGGGGGAUAACGUCCGGAAACGGGCGCUAAUACCGCAUACGUCCUGAGGGAGAAAGUGGGGGAUCUUCGGACCUCACGCUAUCAGAUGAGCCUAGGUCGGAUUAGCUAGUUGGUGGGGUAAAGGCCUACCAAGGCGACGAUCCGUAACUGGUCUGAGAGGAUGAUCAGUCACACUGGAACUGAGACACGGUCCAGACUCAUACGGGAGGCAGCAGUGGGGAAUAUUGGACAAAGGGCGAAAGACUGAACCAGACAUGCCGCGUGUGUGAAGAAGGUCUUCGGAUUGUAAAGCACUUUAAGUUGGGAGGAAGGGCAGUAAGUUAAUACCUUGCUGUUUUGACGGUACCAACAGAAUAAGCACCGGCUAACUUCGUG